RNAcentral lists this ribosomal RNA (564 nucleotides) under uncultured Bifidobacterium sp. RNAcentral's name for it is "bacterial SSU rRNA". It matches the Rfam family "Bacterial small subunit ribosomal RNA", at positions 146 to 711 of the family's 1533-position model. Lineage: Bacteria; Bacillati; Actinomycetota; Actinomycetes; Bifidobacteriales; Bifidobacteriaceae. The record is from RNAcentral.
UCUCCUGGAAACGGGUGGUAAUGCCGGAUGUUCCACAUGAGCGCAUGCGAGUGUGGGAAAGGCUUUUUGCGGCAUGGGAUGGGGUCGCGUCCUAUCAGCUUGUUGGUGGGGUAACGGCCUACCAAGGCGUUGACGGGUAGCCGGCCUGAGAGGGCGACCGGCCACAUUGGGACUGAGAUACGGCCCAGACUCCUACGGGAGGCAGCAGUGGGGAAUAUUGCACAAUGGGCGCAAGCCUGAUGCAGCGACGCCGCGUGCGGGAUGGAGGCCUUCGGGUUGUAAACCGCUUUUGUUCAAGGGCAAGGCACGGUUUCGGCCGUGUUGAGUGGAUUGUUCGAAUAAGCACCGGCUAACUACGUGCCAGCAGCCGCGGUAAUACGUAGGGUGCAAGCGUUGUCCGGAUUUAUUGGGCGUAAAGGGCUCGUAGGCGGUUCGUCGCGUCCGGUGUGAAAGUCCAUCGCUUAACGGUGGAUCCGCGCCGGGUACGGGCGGGCUUGAGUGCGGUAGGGGAGACUGGAAUUCCCGGUGUAACGGUGGAAUGUGUAGAUAUCGGGAAGAACACCA